CCCUUAGACGUUCUGGGCCGCACGCGCGCUACACUGACGAAGGCAACGAGCUUUCCUUUACCGAAAGGUACGGGUAAUCUUUUGAAGCUUCGUCGUGCUGGGGAUAGAUCCUUGCAAUUUUUGAUCUUAAACGAGGAAUUCCUAGUAAGCGCAAGUCAUCAACUUGCGUUGAUUACGUCCCUGCCCUUUGUACACACCGCCCGUCGCUACUACCGAUUGAAUGGUUUAGUGAGGCCUUCGGAUCCGCGACUCGUUUUGUGGAGAAGUUGGACAAACUCAGUCAUUUAGAGGAAGUAAAAGUCGUAACA
This 308-nucleotide ribosomal RNA is filed under the name uncultured eukaryote. RNAcentral's name for it is "partial 18S ribosomal RNA". It matches the Rfam family "Eukaryotic small subunit ribosomal RNA", at positions 1470 to 1796 of the family's 1831-position model. The record is from RNAcentral.